UGGUUUUGCUUACCGAUGAAGGACGCGCAAGGCUGCGAUAAUCGACGGGUAGGAGCCACGAUCCUGUGAUCCGUCGGUGUCCGAAUGGAGUAAUCCCCCUCGCGUUAUAGCGAGGGACUGGGGAGUGAAAAUACCUUGCAUUAUGUGCAUGAAAUACAUUUCAAAUUCGAAGCACGAAUAUCGAAAUUCGAAACAAAUUACAAUUUUAAAAAUAUUAAAUUCCAAACUGUUUGGAACAUUAAUAUUUGUGAUUUAGUUAUUAUUUCGGAUUUCGGAUUUAGAAUUUCGGAUGGAAUUGCCGACCAUAGAAAGUGAAAGUCUUGUAUACGAAAUGAUAGAUGACCCUAGGAAUUUCCUAAGUACCACGGUACAAAUAUACCGUGGGAAUCCGGGAGAACCAUCUUCCAAGGCUAAAUAUAAGCAAAGACCGAUAGUGAACUAGUACCGAGAGGGAAAGGCGAAAAGAAGGGUGGAACACCCAGUGAAAUAGAACCUGAAACUGUUUGCGGACAAACCGGUAGAGCUUGUUCGUAGAACGAACGUAAAGAUUUACGCGGAUUUUAGAAAUGGAUUUACGCUGAUAUUAUCAGUGAUGAUCCGCUCUUUAUCUGUGAUAAUCGUUUCGCUCGUUCUGCGAGCGAGUGAUCUAGCCAUGAGCAGGGUGAGUUCCGAUGAAGAUCGGAAGGAAGCCCGAACCCGUUGAUGUUGCAAUAUCUUGGGAUGACUUGUGGAUAGGGGUAAUAUGCCAAACGAACCUGGAGAUAGCUGGUUCUCAGGUCUAUAGGGACCGUGGCACGUCAGGUGUUACCGAUGGUAGAGCUACUGAAUGGGUUUGCAAGGGCAACCGAGUAAACUCAACCAAACUCCGAAUAGCGGUGUACAUUAUCGUGCUAGACAGUCGCAUCGGGCUAAGCUGAUGCGGCGAAAGGGAAACAUCCCAGACUUUCAGCUAAGGCCUCUAAAUCAUAGCUAAGUUUCAAAGGAAGUUCAUUUCCAUAAACAGCCAGGAGGUUGGCUUAGAAGCAGCCACCCUUUAAAGAUAGCGUAACAGCUCACUGGUCGAUGGAAGUGGGCGCCGAAAAUUUAUCGAGGAUCAAGCUAUGUGCCGAAGCUAAAGAUUUUGUGCGUAGCACAAGUACACGAAUUCACGCGAAUUAUCUUUUUCUGUGUAUAUUAGUGUUUGUAUUUGUAAGAGCAAUGUUUUUUAUAAGAACUUACAAGAUACACACAAAUUAACACGAACAAGAAGUAUAUUUGUGUUUAUUAGCGUACUCGCGCUGCGCGCGAAGUGGUAGGGGAGCGUUCCAACAGCGGUGAAAUUAAGCUGUAAGGCUUGGUGGAGCGGUUGGAAGUGAGAAUGCCGGUAUGAGUAGCGCACUAGCACUGUGAGAAUCAGUGCCGCCGAAUACCCAAGGUUUCCCCGCAGACGUUCGUCGUGUGGGGGUUAAUCGGUUACUAACAUGAGCCCCGAUUUUAAUCGGGGGUAAUGGAUGUACAACAGGUUAAAAUUCCUGUAUUUGUUUUGGAUCGAAAGCCUUGUGCGUUGCACAAGAGAUUUAAGAAUAUCGAUUUAUGAUUUAUGACGAAGUCACAAGCUAUGCUUAUGAAUACUUUAUCGUGAAUCCUGAAUCAUGAAUCUUCAUUCUCUCGAGCAGCGCGCGAGUAGCUGGGGAUUGACUGGACGAGAUGAUUGAAGCCCCUUCGUGAAGUGGGGUGCAAGCAUUUAGAUAGUGUUGGUUGGAAAAUCCGCCGACAUGAUAAAUUGAGAUGUUAUGCAGAGCCUAAAGCAAUUUGGGCAAUUUUAACUCAUUUUGUCUACAAGAAAAGGUUCGCAGCGAGAUCCAGAUCAAGCCGUACCGCAAACCGACACAGGUGGGUUGGUCGAGAAGACUAAGGUGAGCGAGAGAAAGAGGCUUAAGGAACUCGGCAAAAAAGCUGGACGUAACUUCGGGAGAUGUCCUGCCUUGUGCGGCGCAAGUCGCGCGAGGCUACAACAAAUGAUUGCUAACCGACUGUUUAUCAAAAACACAGGUCCGUGCAAAGCAGAAAUGCAAAGUAUACGGGCUGACACCUGCCCAGUGCCGGUAAGUUAAGUGGAUUCGUCCCUGCGCAAGCGGGAUGCGAUGAAAUUAAGCUCCGGUAAACGGCAGCAGUAACUAUAACGCCUCUACUCGGCGAAAUUGCGGUGGCUGUGAAGACGCGGCCUUAUUCCACCAGGACAAAAAGACCCCGUGGAGCUUUACUGUAACUUGGUAUUGCUUUCAUAUUUUUCGAUUGUGCAGAAUAGGUGGGAGCUUGUGCGUAGCACAAAAGAUUUAAGAAUAUUGAUUUAAGAUUUAAGAAUAAAAUAACCACAAUUGAUUCAUUAUUUAAUUUUGAAGGUUUGAAUUCAUAAUUCGUAAAUCAUAAAUCUUGAUUCUUUCGCGCUGCGCGCGAGCACCAGUGUAAUACCACCCUUUGAGAAAUGUGAGGCUUACCCAUUCCGCCCGGAAACGGCGGAGGGGAAAGUGCUAGGCUGGCAGUUUUACUGGGGCGGUACCUUGCCAAAAGGUAACGCAAGGAUACAAAGGUUGGCUUAGUACGGAUGGACAUCGUACUGAAUGUAUAAAAGCACAAGCCAGCUUGACUGCGAGAGUGACGGCUCAAGCAGGUACGAAAGUAGGUUUUAGUGAUCCUCCGAUCCUUCGUGGGAGGGACGGAGCUUAAUGGAUAAAAGCUACCCCGGGGAUAACAGAGUAGUCGCACCUGAGCGUCCAUAGCGACGGUGCGGUUCGCUACCUCAAUUUUGACAUCGGGGUCCUCCGAGAGUGAUUUCGGAGUGCUGUUUUUUAAGUUCCCCAGAACUUAUUCCGAUAUAACCCCGUAUCGACUCAAAUUUCAAGAUUAUUAUCUUGUAAUUGGAUGGAAAUUUUACAAUGUUUCCAUAAUACGUCGGACCCCCGCAGUUGUGCGGGGUGAAGGUAUAGACCAGGAUGGAGAAACCUCUGGUGUGCCGGUUGUAGCGUCAGCUGCACCGCCGGGUAGCUAUGUUUCUAAUGGAUAACCGCUGAAAGCAUCUAAGUGGGAAGCCAACUCUAAGAUUAGGAUUCAC
Molecule: ribosomal RNA, 3091 nt
Filed under: Candidatus Woesebacteria bacterium GW2011_GWB1_38_5
Lineage: Bacteria; Candidatus Woeseibacteriota
Description: 23S ribosomal RNA
Rfam family: Bacterial large subunit ribosomal RNA
Source: RNAcentral